UAAACCUGCAAAGGAGGAAAGGCCUUGAGGAGCCCUGGCCUGAGGCAGAGACAGGAAUGGGGCACAGAAUGCAGGGGCUCCAAGACAGAGUUAGGGGUGAGGUCAGGGGACUGGGCUCUCACCUUGUGCUCCAGGCCUCGAGGAUUCCGGAUCCUGUCUCCCCAACAGCAGCCCGGAGGGAGGCCUGCCUUUGUCCCCGUCCCGUCCCUUCUCCCGACACCUCCCAGGACACUGACCUUGCCGCAAGUCGAUUUCCGCCAGCUGCCCGUGAGUGUUUCCCACAAUCACAGAACUGAGGAGACCAAAGACAGGGAACUCUGAUGGGAAAUGUGUGCCUUUUCUCUGAGUGUCCGCGCAUCGGGGAGAGCCGCUUAGAAGCAUCAGUGGACGGGGCGAGAGAAGUUCCCAGGUUUGGGGUGUGUGAACAUUGGUAUCCUUGUAUUAACAAGUCUACAAAAUUCAGAGGGCACUGAACUGCAAGCAGAGAAGUGUAGCCUGAACACGGGAGGAAGCGUGAAUAUGUGAGCAGAGAUGUUAUCGCCAGCAUCUGCCUUCAGUGUGCAGAAGCAAAAAAGACAGCACACACAGCGACCAGCCCAGCCUGUCCCAGGACUUUCAACAACAGAAGCCAGCUGAGGUCAAAGCAGGGAGGGACCAGCCUGGGUCUCAAAGCAAAUAAGAGAGGCUGUAUCCA
Molecule: long non-coding RNA, 694 nt
Organism: Oryctolagus cuniculus (rabbit)
Lineage: Eukaryota; Metazoa; Chordata; Mammalia; Lagomorpha; Leporidae
Source: RefSeq, a predicted model, not a curated record